This 216-nucleotide unclassified non-coding RNA is filed under the name Hevea brasiliensis (rubber tree). Lineage: Eukaryota; Viridiplantae; Streptophyta; Magnoliopsida; Malpighiales; Euphorbiaceae. The record is from RNAcentral.
UUACAAUGAUAUUUUUAUGUCCCUCAUUUUGUGUCUUGGGUGGUUGUUUGAGGUUGGUUGCAAGGUGAUAGCAAGAGAUAUGCAUGUAGCUUCCACGUUGUUAUUGUCCAGAAACAAAAAGUGUGAUAUGCCCCCAUCGGGCAUAAUUGUUGCAUUGUUUUUGCUUAUUAUAUUGUAGAGUGGAGUGCGUGUAGCUUCCACAUUGUUGCUGUCCAG